AUGAAGGGCCAGCCACACGGAGGACACAAGAAUGGAAGGAAAGGAGGACUCUCGGGCAGCUCCUUUUCACCUGGUUUAUGGUCAUUGCCUUGCUGGGAGUCUGGACUUCAGUAGCUGUCGUUUGGUUUGAGCUUGUUGAUUAUGAGGAAGUUCUAGGAAAAUUGGGAGUCUACGAUGCUGAUGGUGAUGGAGACUUUGAUGUGGAUGAUGCCAAAGUUUUACUAGGCCUUAAAGAAAGAACUGCUUCAGAUCCAAAGUUCCCAGCAGAGGACGCUGAGCCACACAUCGAGCCCGAGGACCAGGCUCCCGCGGGGACAGAACCCCAGAAUAUUGAAGAUGAAGUAAAGGAACAAAUUCAGUCCAUCCUUCAUGAAAUGAUACACACAGAACAUGGAGAAAACUUACAACAGGAAGAAGAGGCGCCGGCAGGAGAACUACGGCUGGAGGAGGAAGAUUUCCUUACUGCAUCUCAUGCCGAUGAUAGACUUGAGACUCUGGAACCUGAAACAUUUCAUGAAGACUCUGAGGAUCAUUAUGUGGAAGACACAGUUUUACAAGACCAUCAGGAUAUGGAAGAGAUAAUAUAUGACCAACUAAACCCAGAUUCCAGUGAACCACUAGCAGAUGAUGAACGAUUGUACCAGGAAGCAGGUGAUGUAACAUACCAAGACUAUGGUGAACAAGCAUAUGAACCUUCAGAAAAUAAACCAAUAGAAAUUUCAGAUAAUGCUAUAGAAGAUUCAAAUGUAAUUUUAGAAGAAGUAAGUGUUCCUCCUGUGGAAGAACCCCAGGAAGUAUCACCAGAUACAUAAAGCUUCAGAAAGACUACCCCUUCUACUGCAGGAGGACCAGCCUAACCAUACGCUCCAAACAAUGGCUGUGAAAGAUCUUGUGACGUAAUUACUGAGCAGAUCAAGAUCUUUGGGGAUGAACACUAAAGAUGUUUUGAAUGAAUUGUAGUCCACUGGCAUUUAGUGUAUUUUUUU
This is an RNA transcript of Octodon degus (degu), 986 nucleotides long. It is a transcript of the gene named aspartyl/asparaginyl beta-hydroxylase pseudogene, with no coding region annotated. NCBI's taxonomy places the organism in Eukaryota, Metazoa, Chordata, Mammalia, Rodentia, Octodontidae. The record is from RefSeq and is a predicted model, not a curated record. The transcript is spliced from 2 exons.